UACAGAGGGUGCGAGCGUUGUCCGGAAUCACUGGGCGUAAAGGGCGCGUAGGCGGCCUGAUAAGUAGGGGGUGAAAUCCUGCGGCUCAACCGCAGGGCUGCCUUCUAGACUGUCAGGCUCGAGCACAGUAGAGGCAGGUGGAAUUCCCGGUGUAGCGGUGGAAUGCGUAGAGAUCGGGAAGAACAUCGGUGGCGAAGGCGGCCUGCUGGGCUGUUGCUGACGCUGAGGCGCGACAGCGUGGGGAGCAAACAGG
This 253-nucleotide ribosomal RNA is filed under the name uncultured bacterium. RNAcentral describes it as "partial 16S ribosomal RNA". It matches the Rfam family "Bacterial small subunit ribosomal RNA", at positions 524 to 776 of the family's 1533-position model. The record is from RNAcentral.